RNAcentral lists this ribosomal RNA (409 nucleotides) under uncultured Armatimonadales bacterium. RNAcentral describes it as "bacterial SSU rRNA". It matches the Rfam family "Bacterial small subunit ribosomal RNA", at positions 354 to 776 of the family's 1533-position model. Lineage: Bacteria; Bacillati; Armatimonadota; Armatimonadia; Armatimonadales. The record is from RNAcentral.
AUUAGGAAUCUUGCACAAUGGGCGAAAGCCUGAUGCAGCGACGUCGCGUGAGGGAUGAAGUCUUUCGGGACGUAAACCUCUUUUAUCGGGGAAGAAACAAAUGACGGUACCCGGUGAAUAAGCCCCGGCUAACUACGUGCCAGCAGCCGCGGUAAUACGUAGGGGGCCAGCGUUGUCCGAAGUUACUGGGCGUAAAGAGCGCGUAGGCGGGUUUUUAAGUGAGAGGUGAAAGGUUCAGGGCUCAACCCGGACACUGCCUUUCAUACUGGAAGCCUUGAGUAUGGGAGAGGCGAGUGGAAUUCUUGGUGUAGCGGUGAAAUGCGUAGAUAUCAAGAGGAACACCCAUGGCGAAGGCAGCUCGCUGGCCUAUAACUGACGCUGAGGCGCGAAAGCUGGGGGAGCAAACAGG